UGGGGAAUUUUGGACAAUGGGCGCAAGCCUGAUCCAGCAAUGCCGCGUGCAGGAUGAAGGCCUUCGGGUUGUAAACUGCUUUUGUACGGAACGAAACGGCGAGCUCUAAUACAGUUUGCUAAUGACGGUACCGUAAGAAUAAGCACCGGCUAACUACGUGCCAGCAGCCGCGGUAAUACGUAGGGUGCGAGCGUUAAUCGGAAUUACUGGGCGUAAAGCGUGCGCAGGCGGGUCUAUAAGACAGAUGUGAAAUCCCCGGGCUCAACCUGGGAAUUGCAUUUGUGACUGUAGGGCUAGAGUACGGUAGAGGGGGAUGGAAUUCCGCGUGUAGCAGUGAAAUGCGUAGAUAUGCGGAGGAACACCGAUGGCGAAGGCAAUCCCCUGGACCUGUACUGACGCUCAUGCACGAAAGCGUGGGGAGCAAACAGG
RNAcentral lists this ribosomal RNA (429 nucleotides) under uncultured bacterium. RNAcentral describes it as "bacterial SSU rRNA". It matches the Rfam family "Bacterial small subunit ribosomal RNA", at positions 355 to 776 of the family's 1533-position model. The record is from RNAcentral.